Molecule: long non-coding RNA, 2458 nt
Organism: Equus caballus (horse)
Lineage: Eukaryota; Metazoa; Chordata; Mammalia; Perissodactyla; Equidae
Source: Ensembl
CCCAGGGAAUCCCUCCAAGUGCAGGCAGAGUCUGUCCCUGAUCCCUGCCUGAAGAGUGGCUGUCACUGCUUUGUGUCCUCCAGUGUCAUGGGAAUGUUGUGGCUGAGGCAUCCUGCCUUACUUAGUCUUUGUUCUCCAAAUCUGUCACUGAUUCUAUAUUGUGAUGACAGAUCCCCGAAUUCCCCCCAUUGCUCAGCUUCAGGUUUGUUUUGGGGAAAUUCAGUGUCGGCUGCCCAAAUCUUUUGGGUCCUUGUGUAAGCCUGUUUAUGUCACUCCCUUCUGAGUUGUACUCUCUCUCACUGCUCUGGCAUACUUGCACGUGCACAUGCACGCACACAUACACACAUGAUAUCUGGCUACGGCUUGUAAAAAUUACAAAGAUAAAUAAUCUGUUUCACCGCUUGGAAUGAGUUGCAACUAAGGUUGUUUGGGCUCCUGGAUCUAGCUCUCAUGGUUCGGAUUCAUUACAGCAAACUCCCAUUGUUCACCAUAUUGAUUUACAGUAGUGUGAUAACAUUAACAAACAUGGCGCAACCUGAAUUGUAUAAGGCGAACUAAAGAAGAAAAGUGACAUAUGAAUAUAUUUUGCAAAGUCACAUUAACUAAAAAACAAAUAUGAAUAAUUUCAUUGUUUAAUUUUUUAAGUGGGCAUUCUCCACUGUUUCCAGACCUCUGUAUGUAUAUUUUUAUCUUUUUUUUUUUGCCAAAUAAGGUGUUAUUUUGGUCCUCUGUUGGUAGAGGUUUUGUUUAAAUAGAGCCAAUCAGGCCCUAAGUGCAAAAAAGUUCUGUCUUGCCGCUUAUCACUGGUGUGGUUAUUAUUUUUGCUUUCCUAACUUUGCUCUUAGGAGCAUAAAUCUGUUUGUAGCUUUAUGGUAAUGGGAUAUUUCUAGUCACAUACUGUCAAAAGUUUUUUUACAUUGUACAAGUGAAGAUUGCUUUCAGGAUUAAAUGAUUGGAAUUAAUGUAUAUAGAGUAAAGUUUUUGCAAAAUUUAAAAACGAUGUUUCUUGGUGUUCUUUUUAAAUACUUUUUGAAAAAUAUAUGAAAAUGAUAAACCUUUAGUUAGAAUAAGCCAGUAUGUUACAAUUUUUUGUUUAGAUUUUAUAAUCAAGAGUUGAUUAUAAAUAUUUAUGACCUCAAGCUCUUACUAUUUUAGUUUUAAAAGAAUGGGAAAUGGCUCAUGAACUGUUUUCUUCUAAUUCCUGAUGUGAAUUCCACUGUUGAUUGACCUGUGUGUUAUGUGAAUGUACUGUCUCUCAUUCCCUGUUACCAGACAAAUCUGACCAGACGUGAUUGUCAGCAUUCUCAUGCUCAAAUACUUAAACUGGUUCUUCUUUGCCCAACAAUCUCAGAGUUUUCAUUUUGUUUCAGUAGAGUCACAACUUAUAAGGUGGUUAGGUUUCAAAGACUGUGCUAAAGACUGCCUAAGGAUGAAAUCGAGCAUGCUCAAAAUGAUCCUUGAGAAUCUCUUAAACUGCCAAUAAAGUUCUCUAUAUUAGAUUCCCUGUAGUGUGAUACAUGAGGAUGAAUAGUUUAUGAAUAUAGUAAGUACAAUAUAUAAUACAAACUACAUAUCAACAGUAGACUUUUACAGCACCAAUAAACUAUUUAAAUAUGGAUCCUUUUUUUUCCUGAAUAGUAUGGUUGAAUUUAUGUAAAUUUAUUGCGAUCCUCCAUUUUCUAGAGUGUAAGCUCACAGGGCAGAGAUGUUUCCUGGUUUGUUCAUGGAUAGAUCCCCAGAGGCCAGAACAGGGCCUGGCACACAGUAUGACUCAAUAAAUAGUUAUUGAAUUAAUUAACUCCGGUGUAUAUAUCUAUUUAUAAUUUGGCUCCACUUUAUCCUACUUUUUAUCUCCCAUUCACUUCAAUUAAAACACAUUUUUUUUAAUACAUACUGAAUUUGUGUGAGGAGCUUUGUGGGCCAUUGGUGGGGAUACAAAAGUGAAUAAGAUACAGCCCCUGCCCUUAAGAGGGUGCCCGUUGGGCAAAGAGACAUGUGAGCAACCUUAAUUGAAGAUGGAAGGAAGUCCAUGCCAUGAAAGGGCACAGGUACCACGCUGUGGAAGACAAGGAAGGAGCUUUUCGUUUUGAGGGAGGGACCUGGGAAGGCCCGUGGGAGGGAAGAGCUUGGUAAACUAGACUACGAGGACCAAGAGAUGGUCAGUAGGUGGCAGGCAUUGGGUCACGGGAACAGCGUGAGGUGUGCCUCUUCCUGUUGCUGGGACGCUUCCCCUUGUCUGUCCAGACUUCCCAUCGUUCCUUCUUCCCACUCACACCCCUACCCCCACUAAUCAAAAUCAUGCUUUGCUCAAUCCCACCUGCUCUAGAAAAAUCUGUUUCCAGUACACAGCUCUAUUUCUAAACUCCCUAAGAGUUACUGUCCGUCUCAUAUACUUGACUGUGUUUUAUCUUGCUCUCUAUUUGUUGUCUUGAUGCCGUAAUAAAAUAGAGAAAUUGGA